GGGCCCGCACAAGCGGAGGAGCAUGUGGUUUAAUUCGAUGAUACGCGAGGAACCUUACCUGGGCUAGAACCGAUACUGCCGAUAUGUGAAAGCAUAUCUUCCUACGGGACGGUAUUGGAGGUGCUGCAUGGUUGUCGUCAGCUCGUGCCGUGAGGUGUCGGAUUAAGUUCCAUAACGAGCGCAACCCCUACUGUUAGUUGCCAGCGAGUCAAGUCGGGGACUCUAGCAGGACUGCCGGCGCAAGCCGAGAGGAAGGUGGGGAUGACGUCAAAUCAGCACGGCCCUUAUGUCCAGGGCUACACACGUGCUACAAUGGUCGAUACAGAGGGCAGCUACUUGGCGACAAGAUGCGAAUCUCGAAAAUCGAUCUCAGUUCGGAUCGAAGUCUGCAACUCGACUUCGUGAAGUUGGAUUUCGCUAGUAAUCGCGCAUCAGCCAUGGCGCGGUGAAUACG
This 454-nucleotide ribosomal RNA is filed under the name uncultured Bacteroidales bacterium. Its description in RNAcentral is "bacterial SSU rRNA". It matches the Rfam family "Bacterial small subunit ribosomal RNA", at positions 917 to 1370 of the family's 1533-position model. The record is from RNAcentral. Lineage: Bacteria; Pseudomonadati; Bacteroidota; Bacteroidia; Bacteroidales.